This 89-nucleotide transfer RNA is filed under the name Fibrobacter sp. RNAcentral describes it as "tRNA-Ser". It matches the Rfam family "tRNA". From Rfam's summary of the family: Transfer RNA (tRNA) molecules are approximately 80 nucleotides in length. Their secondary structure includes four short double-helical elements and three loops (D, anti-codon, and T loops). Further hydrogen bonds mediate the characteristic L-shaped molecular structure. tRNAs have two regions of fundamental functional importance: the anti-codon, which is responsible for specific mRNA codon recognition, and the 3' end, to which the tRNAs corresponding amino acid is attached (by aminoacyl-tRNA synthetases). tRNAs cope with the degeneracy of the genetic code in two manners: having more than one tRNA (with a specific anti-codon) for a particular amino acid; and 'wobble' base-pairing, i.e. permitting non-standard base-pairing at the 3rd anti-codon position. The record is from RNAcentral. Lineage: Bacteria; Pseudomonadati; Fibrobacterota; Fibrobacteria; Fibrobacterales; Fibrobacteraceae.
GGAGAGGUGCCCGAGUGGUUGAAGGGGGCGGUCUCGAAAACCGUUGAACUGGGUAACUGGUUCCCAGGGUUCGAAUCCCUGCCUCUCCG